RNAcentral lists this ribosomal RNA (320 nucleotides) under uncultured Bacteroidales bacterium. RNAcentral describes it as "partial 16S ribosomal RNA". The record is from RNAcentral. Lineage: Bacteria; Pseudomonadati; Bacteroidota; Bacteroidia; Bacteroidales.
GGAGUUUGGACCGUGUCUCAGUUCCAAUGUGGGGGACCUUCCUCUCAGAACCCCUACUGAUCGUCGCCUUGGUGGGCCGUUACCCCGCCAACUAGCUAAUCAGUCGCAUCCUCAUCCAUCGCCGAUAAAUCUUUAUUCGCCAAACCAUGCGGAAAAGCGAAACCAUCAGGUAUUAAUCUUUCUUUCGAAAGGCUAUCCCUGAGCCAUGGGUAGAUUGGAUACGCGUUACGCACCCGUGCGCCGGUCGCCAUCAAAAGUAGCAAGCUACUUUCAUGCUGCCCCUCGACUUGCAUGUGUUAAGCCUGUAGCUAGCGUUCAUC